GGGGGUGGAGAAGCCUGGAGGCCGGGCCCUCAGGCCCCGCCUCUGAUUCACGGACAAAGCUCUGUGAGUCACAACAAUAGAACAACAUCCUUUUAUUGGCGUUAACAAAAAUGCACGUCAUGUGUGGCCAUUCGGCCCCAAAAAUGCACCCCAUCUUGCAAUGUGUCUUCAUAAUCCCCAUUUCCUCCCACCGUGUCCGAUCGGGUGCUGCCACCCUCUAUUUAAGCCACGGGUUGGUGCAUAUCUCCCUUCAUCUCUUAAUCAUCCGUUCCAUUUAUUUCUUUGUUCACUCCUCCCAGCGCUCUGUGCCCAGAUAUUAUCGUCACCACUCAGGCUGUGCGGUCUCCAUCCGUAUUUGCCCGCCCCUCAAUAGGCUACAGUGCCGUAUGUGUGUGUUGUUGCUGGGGGGGGGGGGGGGGCGCUCAUGUCAGCGAACAACCGCUAUGGUUCUGUUUCGUGUGUGUGUGUGUGUUUUAUUGACAUGCCUCUGCUUCAAAACCCCUGAAGGGACCGCUCCACCGUCGAUAACCCUGCUUCAUAAUGCAUCAGCCGCUCACAAAACUGACCAGAGGUUAUGUGGGUCAUGCCGUGGCGACGCUGGGGGACGUGCACGGAGGGACACUGGCAGACAAAUGGGAGACAGGGAGAGGCUUAACAGAUUGAAGGCCAUCAAGGACAAUACGGAAAAAUGAACAACGACUAUUGUCGGAGGAAAUGCCGCAGGAGACUGACUGAUGGACGAGCAAAACAAGAGACGGGGGGAGAUGAAGCGGAGGAGGAGGACGGGUCGUAUUUCUGUCAUGCGGCGCCGUCCUUUGUUUGCUCAUCACAUGCGGUAUCUCUGCAUGGUCCUUGUAUUCAUGUCAGAGAUAAUUAUAGGAGGACGCCGCCAGUUGCCAGAUCAGUAGAUAGCGGACGGGAGCUGCAUCUAAGCGCGGCGUCUCUUCCCCCUACUGGGUUGCCAGAUUUGCGAAUGUCUUGUAUGACGCUGCAUGAGCUCGCAGCCAUGCCUCACCUUCUGCGUGUCCUCGAAGAAUAGCGUCACUGGGCUUCAGAUUUCUUCACCGUGUUUGUCUUGAAGGUCAAUGCAGUGGAGUUUAAUCAGAUCAGUCUCUCAGAAGAGGGUGAAGAGCAAAACAGACAACUGGAAAGACGUAUAAACAAUUUUCCUGACAGCCGAGGCUUUGAGACGGCAGCACCAGGAGGGAAGAGGAGGACGACGAAGAACCGGAACGUGAAGAACCACCAGCAGCAGCAACUACCACCUCUGAAAAUGCAUUCCAGUUUGCGACAUAUUUAAAAGGAGACCCUGCAAAGCCCUCUGUCGCAAGCAUCCGGCUCGGCUUACAUCACCCGAAAGACUUAUGCUGCGCCGGAUCAGCGUAAAGCCUGACAAGAUGUCCCGGGUGAUUUGCGAGGAGAACCUCUAGAGGUACUAGGAGCUGGCAGAAGGAGAGAUACCCGAGGCCUCUGGGUAAGCCCGCCCUCCCCUCACAAAGUGAUGUAUGUCCCUCUCCAAGGUGCUGAAGUGCGUCCUGCUCCGAGAGCGACCGCAGGUGAAGCCCGUGGCUUCAGCUCCGCUGCGGUUACUCCUCUGCAUUUUUUGCCGACGAAUACUCGCCCGGACUGGAGUCCUCACUCAUAUGAGGUUAAACAGAGGCUGUUUCUGAUGUGUGUCUCAACGGAUACCGUCGUAAUCUCCCUGGGUGUGUGUAUGUGCCGGGGUUUGAGGUGUGGUCACCAGGCCAAGCCCCCCGGUUUGAUUUGGGACUGCUUGCAAGAUCUUUAAUAGUUAACUAUGAAUUAAUUCAUGACAGUAAGUGAAAUGUUUCCACAACACUGUACGAUAUAUGAGGCGUGCAUUUAUCUUUAUUGGAGCCGCAGCAAAACACUAUCUCACAAGUUAUUAAUGUCAGAAAAUUGGAUGUGAGAGUCCGCUGUGAAACGGCUUCAGACAUAAAUUGUUCAAUUAAACAUCACCAGUGAAAUUGGUUGUACAGCAACGCGGGGCCGCAAAAAAAUUGAACGCCGAGAUGAAUAGACAACAAAAGUGACUUAGUAUUCAAAGUCGGUUCCAAGGGAGACUUGCCCAAGCUGUUUGCAGUGAUUUAUGGGGCUGAAUAUGUCUGAUUUGUUCUUGAGUGCACAAACUGCCCUCUCAGUUUAACAGUGAUUUGAAUGCGUCUCGGGGUUCCAACAUGGACGUUAUACGCCAGCACCGGGGAGUUCAGUCAAACACUAUUCCAAAGCCCAUCAAAGGGAGCGUUGAGAUUAUAGUGAUUUAUUUGCUACUCUGAGACAUCAGAGUGUGAGUGUUACAACAUCAAAGAGGCAAACUGCAAUUUCCAUUGGCCAGAACUGUGGCACGCCGUGACAAACGAAAGAAAUAAAAUAAAAUAAAAAACACUCUGUGGAGGUAAGAAAGAAGGUCCAUGAAUCAGAGUAAAAAGGAAUCUUCAGUGUGUUGUGGGAGAACAUCCUUCUAAGAUCCAAGAAGAUCUGGCUUUUAUCUACAAACAGUUUCCUAUAUUCAGGCUGUUUUUGACAGAUGUCUGUUGUACCUCCAGGGGGAUUCUACUGUGUUUGCUGAGUGUUUGAGGUACAUAAUCUUCCCCUUAUAUUUAGAUUUUGUCCACUUCUGCGUUUAUUUCAUGAAGUUCUGACACCCGGGUAUUUUCCCUAUUUUUUUUGUUCCUCUCUCUCUCUCUCUCUCUCACACACACACACACAUAGUUUUUGUCUUUUCAUGCCGUAUCUGUAGGACCCGGGCGGAGGGAGGAAUUCAUCAUCCUAAUGUGCCGCGGAUAAGCGCUUGUUAAAAACCCCACACUGCGUUUUCUCGAUAUUCGUCAUGGUUGUAAGAAUUUUGCCUCAGGUGCCGAAGGCAGCUUGUGAAGCCGGUCAAAGAGCAUCAUUGAAAAGAGAAAAAUCCAGCAAUAUGUGGUGGAUCUCCCAGAUAUGAAAGAGAUGGCUAUUGCUGAAUACCUUGUUUGGAAGAAGGAGAAGUCCAACACAUAUCGUCUAACAACCAGGAAAUACCAUGCAGAGAUUUUUCUUUAAAAAAGAAAAAUAAAACAUUUAUAUUAAAACGUAAUUAAUUGCCAGUGAAAAUAACACCAGUAUUGUGAAGCUACUAUGAGAAUAUGGUUUCAUUCACUUCAUGGUCGGCACCUAAUUGGUCCCCGUAAGGAAGGCCGGUCCCCUCAAUGGGAGUGUGUAAACGGAUUUAUGUCCCCGCAACAUAGGUAAAACAAGCCCUCACACACACACACACACUGUCUGAAUAUGAUUUCUUUUGACUUGUUUAUCACCUUAGUGCCACACACAAACAGAGAGACACACCUAUGUGCAUAAAAAAUGAAAUGAGUUUGCUUGGCUUCUAUGAAUGAUAAUGAUGCCAUUCAACUGUUUGCUUUGCUGAUGGCCCCCCCCCCCUCCCCGGGCAGAAGGGUCCCCUGGGUUUGUGUGACUGCCAUUGAAGCAUCAAAGCCAAGUAAAUGUCAACUAUGGAGAUAAAAAAAAACCUCUUGCUUCCAAAAAGCUGCCUGAUGGGUUUGUUUUUGUUUUAAUAGCAUCCAUUAAAAGUAUAAUCAUGAAAUAGAUGUCCAAAUCCUCCGUUGAGUGGUGACCUCGUUUUCAUUAAAAGGUCUUUGAAAUGAUGUUGUUUCAAACAAUAAAGUUUCGCAAACGCA
Molecule: non-coding RNA, 3692 nt
Organism: Gasterosteus aculeatus aculeatus (three-spined stickleback)
Lineage: Eukaryota; Metazoa; Chordata; Actinopteri; Perciformes; Gasterosteidae
Source: RefSeq, a predicted model, not a curated record